RNAcentral lists this transfer-messenger RNA (96 nucleotides) under Omnitrophica WOR_2 bacterium RIFOXYC2_FULL_38_12. RNAcentral's name for it is "partial transfer-messenger RNA". It matches the Rfam family "transfer-messenger RNA", at positions 277 to 374 of the family's 374-position model. Rfam says of the family: Bacterial tmRNA, also known as 10Sa RNA or SsrA, is named for its dual tRNA and mRNA-like properties. Its role is to liberate the mRNA from a stalled ribosome. Lineage: Bacteria; Pseudomonadati; Candidatus Omnitrophota. The record is from RNAcentral.
GGAGCUGAUAUGAUGAGAUCAAAAGACAAUCUACGCAUGUAGAGGCUUAUGCAAUACACUAUAAGGACCGGGGUUCGAUUCCCCGCACCUCCACCA